Molecule: ribosomal RNA, 468 nt
Filed under: uncultured bacterium
Lineage: Bacteria
Description: partial 16S ribosomal RNA
Rfam family: Bacterial small subunit ribosomal RNA
Source: RNAcentral
GACGAACGCUGGCGGCGUGCUUAACACAUGCAAGUCGAACGGAAAGGCCCUGCUUUUGUGGGGUGCUCGAGUGGCGAACGGGUGAGUAACACGUGAGUAACCUGCCCUUGACUUUGGGAUAACUUCAGGAAACUGGGGCGAAUACCGGAUAGGAGCUCCUGCUGCAUGGUGGGGGUUGGAAAGUUUCGGCGGUUGGGGAUGGACUCGCGGCUUAUCAGCUUGUUGGUGGGGUAGUGGCUUACCAAGGCUUUGACGGGUAGCCGGCCUGAGAGGGUGACCGGCCACCUUGGGACUGAGAUACGGACCAGAAUCGUACGGGAGGCAGCAGUGGGGAAUAUUGCACAAUGGGCGGAAGCCUGAUGCAGCAACGCCGCGUGCGGGAUGCCGGCCUUCGGGUUGUAAACAGCUUUCGCCUGUGACGAAGCGUGAGUGACGGUAAUGGGUAAAGAAGCACCGGCUAACUACGUG